This 1625-nucleotide long non-coding RNA is filed under the name Helianthus annuus (common sunflower). RNAcentral's name for it is "sRNA HanXRQr2_Chr09g0379471". The record is from RNAcentral. Lineage: Eukaryota; Viridiplantae; Streptophyta; Magnoliopsida; Asterales; Asteraceae.
CAGAAUUUUCAACACCGCCUUCCUUCCCUGUGGACAAAAUAGAUUUGUCAUCAUGCAUUGAAUUUGAAAGCAAUCAAUUUACAUUUAGUUGCAAAAAUUCAAACAUCAAACAAUGGUAAUCAACAAAACCUGCCUCUAUACCUUAUUCCAACAAUCCUUUUCUCUAAUUUAAUUCUUCUUAUUAUAAGUUUAUAACAAUGUAUCACACUGCAAUUGUGUCCAUUGGUGUUCAGGCGCAUCCGCCUUGCGCAAAUCCUACCCUUCCGCCAGCGACGUCAUACACAACAGCUAGCGAUUUUUGUUGAACAUUACCGAAUAUACCAAUAUCUGAAUCAUCCCCAUUUGGAGCAAAAGCUAAACACACUUGACUAACACCAUUUGCAUAUAGAAUCCCUUGUGGUGCAAUCUCCACAAGUGUAUUCCCACCCCAAAGUACACUUAUCUUUGGUAUUUCAACUGUUUGAUAAUUAGUUAGAUCAUAGCAAGUAUCAAGUAUAGAUAAUGAUCUAGUUAACGGGUACUUCUUCAUUUGCGCUUUAAACGCCUUACUUAGAGCCGAGUAGGCUGUAGGGGGGAGCCUCGUGAUCACGGUUCCCGAGUCAAUGAUAAUACCCGAAGUCUGAAACACUGUAGGACUUAUUGGUAGUUUAGUUCCACCAACGGUUAUAGCCGUAAGAGUAAGACCGUAGAAAGAACGUGAGCUGCCCGAGAGUCGUGUGUACUUAACUUUACGGCCAACUCCACUACUUCCAAAAGUUAGGUAACCGGUAGAGCUUGAGCGUGAGGGGAGACAAUAAGAGAAAACUUUCCUGUACUUGUUAGCGGUUUGUGACACGAUAGAUAGCCUGUCGCGACCGAGUCCUAGUAGCCCAGCAGCACCACCAAAGAGUCCUUGGUUGUUUUGACCACACCCAAAAAAGAAACCAUUAACUACAUCUUUUGAAGUCAAUGUCAGUUUUUCUUUUCCAAAGAAUCCAACUGAGAAAGACUGGUCACCAUACUGAAUACCAUACACGCAUGUUGAUGCGCUGCAACCGGGGUCGUUUCCGGUGGCGGAGGUGAGCUCAGAACACUGGGUUGCCGUGCACGAAAUGUUGGAAUAGGUGGUGGACUUAGAGGGUGCAAAUAUGGGCUCUUUUUGAUCAUAACAUGAUCUAGCACAAGGUUCACACUGGGUCCAGGUUAGGUCGCUCCCCGUGUCGAAAAUGAGUGAGAGUUGUUUGGCCGGGGUGCCUAAUCCGACGGUUACAAUGUAGUUACCGGAUCCGAUUGUGCUACCGGAUUUCGCAGGGAUAGUGGCCUUGGAGCCCAGUAUGUCUUUUUUUCCUGUCUUGGUGGCUAACCUAGCCCUGAUUGAGUCAACUCUUGAUUGGUCAUUGGUCAAGAUUUCUUCCACUGUCAAAGAUUUGACCGUGUCUUCAUUGAGCGUAGAGCAUGGUCCGUGUUUGUGAACCACUUCCACAGAUGGAUUACAAACAGAUGAUGGCAAAAGAGAGGUUAGUUGGAGUGUAUGAUAAUGGUGUGCUUCUUCCCCUUCACUGGUGUUGAAAGCAAAUUCUUGUGUUGCAGUAAUGAAAACAAAGAAAAGAGAGCAACAAGAAAGAAGUAGGAUGAGAGAGUAGGAU